AAUAUUGGACAAUGGGGGCAACCCUGAUCCAGCCAUGCCGUGUGUGUGAAGAAGGUCUUCGGAUUGUAAAGCACUUUAAGUUGGGAGGAAGGGCCUUAGGUUAAUACCCUGAAGUUUUGACGUUACCUACUGAUUAAGCUCCGGCUAACUCUGCUCCAGCAGCCGCGGUAAUAAAGAGGGUGCAAGCGUUAAUCGGAAUUACUGGGCGUAAAGGACGGGUAGGUGGUUCAGAAAGAUGGGUGUGAAAUCCCCGGGCUUAACCUGGGAACUGCUUUCAUAACCGCUGAGCGAGAGUAAGGUAGAGGGUAGUGGAAUUUCCUGUGUAGCGGUGAAAUGCGUAGAUAUAGGAAGGAACACCAGUGGCGAAGGCGACUACCUGGACUGAUACUGACACUGAGGUGCGAAAGCGUGGGGAGCAAAC
RNAcentral lists this ribosomal RNA (421 nucleotides) under uncultured bacterium. Its description in RNAcentral is "partial 16S ribosomal RNA". It matches the Rfam family "Bacterial small subunit ribosomal RNA", at positions 360 to 773 of the family's 1533-position model. The record is from RNAcentral.